Molecule: ribosomal RNA, 426 nt
Filed under: Triticum aestivum (bread wheat)
Lineage: Eukaryota; Viridiplantae; Streptophyta; Magnoliopsida; Poales; Poaceae
Description: partial small subunit ribosomal RNA
Source: RNAcentral
AAAUAUAUUGAAUUCUGGCACAGAUCGAGGGUGAUCACUCUGUCCAACCUAGAGGACGAGUUCAUUUGGAAAUGGUCAUCUGAUGGAAGAUACAAUGCUAAGUCAGCUUACCUAUGUCAAUUCUGGGGCAAGAUUGAUUCUCCUCUAUCUGAGAUUAUAUGGCAUAUUAAGGUUCCACCAAAAAUAAGAUUCUUCAACUGGCUCUUUGUACAGGGCAAAUGUUUGACUGCAGAUAACCUUGCAAAGCGGGGUUGGCCUCACAACCAGGUCUGUCAACUAUGUCAUUUAGGGAUGGAAGACAGCCUACACCUUGUAGCUAGUUGCCCUUUCACGGCUGGAAUCUGGGGCUAUUGCUUGGCGAUAUAUAAGUUCCCUUCAACCUCUUGCCUACUGCUCAUGAUGGCUCUCUAUUGGACUGGUGGUUAA